Molecule: ribosomal RNA, 909 nt
Filed under: uncultured archaeon
Lineage: Archaea
Description: bacterial SSU rRNA
Rfam family: Archaeal small subunit ribosomal RNA
Source: RNAcentral
UGAUCGUGCCGGAGGUUACUGCUAUCGAGGUUCGACUAAGCCAUGCGAGUCGAAUGUAGCAAUACAUGGCGUACUGCUCAGUAACACGUGGACAACCUACCCUUGGGACGGGGAUAAACCCGGGAAACUGGGUAUAAUACCCGAUAGUCCUCGACUGCUGGAAUGCAUCGAGGUCGAAAGCUCCGGUGCCCAAGGAUGGGUCUGCGGCCUACCAGGUAGUAGUGGGUGUAGCGUACCUACUAGCCUACGACGGGUACGGGUUGUGAGAGCAAGAGCCCGGAGAUGGAUUCUGAGACACGAAUCCAGGCCCUACGGGGUGCAGCAGGCGCGAAAACUUUACAAUGCUGGAAACAGCGAUAAGGGAACCUCGAGUGCCAGGUUACAAAUCUGGCUGUCGUGAUGCCUAAAAAGCAUUGCAUAGCAAGGGCCGGGCAAGACCGGUGCCAGCCGCCGCGGUAACACCGGCGGCUCGAGUGGUAACCGUUAUUAUUGGGUCUAAAGGGUCUGUAGCCGGCCGGAUAAGUCUCUUGGGAAAUCCAGCAGCUCAACUGUUGGGCUUUCAGGAGAUACUGUCUGGCUCGAGGCCGGGAGAGGUGAGAGGUACUUCAGGGGUAGGGGUGAAAUCUUGUAAUCCUUGAAGGACCACCAGUGGCGAAGGCGUCUCACCAGAACGGACCUGACGGCAAGGGACGAAAGCUAGGGGCACGAACCGGAUUAGAUACCCGGGUAGUCCUAGCCGUAAACGAUACUCGCUAGGUGUCGGCCACGGUGCGACCGUGGUCGGUGCCGUAGGGAAGCCGUGAAGCGAGCCACCUGGGAAGUACGGCCGCAAGGCUGAAACUUAAAGGAAUUGGCGGGGGAGCACCACAACGGGUGGAGCUUGCGGUUUAAUUGGAUCAACGCCGGAAA